AGUACCACCAAAGCUGGAGGGUUCUCUUAAUUAUUUCCAUUUAUGUCCACAUUAAAUUUUGGAUAAAUUACUAAUUUAGCCUAUAAUUUUGAAUCUGAUGCUAUCAGCUUUUAUCAAAAUCUCCUGGAAUCUCUGUUACAUGACAAGUAGUGGAAGCAGAAGUAACAUGAAUUUCAAGAACAACAACAACAACAUGGGGAAUGAGCCACCAGGAGACGGUAGUGGAGGAGCGGCGUUGACCAGACAAGGUUCGAUAUACUCGUUGACAUUCGACGAGUUUCAGAGCAGUUUAGGUAAAGAUUUUGGGUCAAUGAACAUGGACGAGCUGUUAAAGAACAUAUGGACUGCUGAAGAGACACAAGCCAUGGCUGUUGCUGCUUCAACUAGCGGUGUUAUUCCACUUGCUGGAGGAGGCCAAGAGGGGCUGCCGUUGCAGAGGCAAGGCUCGUUGACACUCCCCCGAACCCUUAGCACGAAAACGGUUGAUCAGGUGUGGAAAGAUCUCUCUAAAGAUGGAGGAGGUGGAACAAACUUGACUCAGAGUCAGAGGCAGCAGACAUUAGGUGAGGUAACUCUAGAGGAGUUCCUGGUACGUGCUGGCGUUGUGAGAGAGGAAGCUCAGAUUGCUGCCAAAGAUGCUAACACGGGUUUCUCUGUCCAGGCUUCUCCUCAAGUUGUUCCCGGUUUGAUGGGGAACCUUGGUGCCGAGACUGUGAAUCAUAUGCAGGUUCAAGGUUCUAGUUUGCCUCUGAAUGUAAAUGGAGCUAGAUCUACAUACCAGCAACACCAGCCAAUCAUGCCCAAGCAGCCUGGUUUUGGGUAUGGAACACACGUUGGUCCUGGGAUAAGAGGUGGUCUUAUGGGACUUGGAGAUCAGUCUCUAAAUAUGGGAUUAGUCCAAGGCGUUGUUGGUGCUGCUGUGUCUCCUGUGACGCCAGUGUCAGCAGAUGGGAUAGGGAAGAAUAAUGGUGAUUCUUCAUCGCUGUCUCCGUCUCCGUACAUGUUUAAUGGUGGGGUGAGGGGUAGAAAGAGUGGUACUGUAGAGAAAGUUGUUGAGAGGAGGCAAAGGAGAAUGAUAAAGAACCGAGAAUCAGCCGCAAGGUCACGUGCCAGGAAACAGAUGUUCUCGGCAGACCAGACAAUGUAGUGGAAUGUAAUUUGCUAUGCUAACGUCUCAAGGCUUAUACCGUGGAACUUGAAGCUGAAGUUGCAAAGUUAAAGGAAGAGAAUGAAGAGUUACAAAGAAAGCAGGCAAAGAUUAUGGAGAUGCAAAAGAAUCAGGAGAUGGAGAUGAUGAAUAUUCAAGGAGGUGCAAAGAAAAGGCUGAGGAGGACAGAGUCAGGACCUUGGUGAAUCAUACUUAGUUUCUGUAGAUAAAUAUUCCCCACAUGUGUUUAGUUUGAAGACCAAAGAGAGAGAGAGUUUCAUGGUUUAUUUUGUAAGCUCUUUUCAUAUGUGUUCUCUUAUACAUACACAAAGUUAUCAUAAUCCCUUUACUUUAAUUA
RNA transcript from Brassica napus (rape), 1505 nucleotides. It is a transcript of the gene named ABSCISIC ACID-INSENSITIVE 5-like protein 5, with no coding region annotated. The transcript has 6 exons. The record is from RefSeq and is a predicted model, not a curated record. Lineage: Eukaryota; Viridiplantae; Streptophyta; Magnoliopsida; Brassicales; Brassicaceae.